AAGACUAGUAAUCGAAACGGUGUACGUUCAGACGUGAAUUAUUCAUGAACAUCUCUGGACCCUUGAGCAUGACAGCGAACCUCAUCCUACCAAAAUUACUGUGGUAACGAAAGUUUUCGCCAAACUAUUACAGUUACAACUAGAUAGUUUUAACUAUGAGAACUUGCCACUGCAGCCAUCAAAAAAAUCAAAUCACAGAAAGAUUCUGAAAGCGUGGCCACGGUUUCCAUGGUAAUUUUUGUGAGGAGAAGUAGCGUAACACCAGGUGGGACAGUCCGUCACACAGGGACCCGGUGAGACUGCUGCGUCUGACAGUGGCUGUAGUCCACACAGUUCAACACGAUCAGCGCGAAUGAGAACAGACGAAACUGCAUCUGGGCGGCUGUAAGAUUGUCCCGACUCACGGUAGAAAGCGUCAAAGAGGAGCGGGGAGUUGAGGAGUCCGGACUCAGUUGUGUUACACAUUAGCGAGG
Molecule: long non-coding RNA, 473 nt
Organism: Carassius auratus (goldfish)
Lineage: Eukaryota; Metazoa; Chordata; Actinopteri; Cypriniformes; Cyprinidae
Exons: 3
Source: RefSeq, a predicted model, not a curated record